RNAcentral lists this ribosomal RNA (659 nucleotides) under uncultured bacterium. RNAcentral's name for it is "bacterial SSU rRNA". It matches the Rfam family "Bacterial small subunit ribosomal RNA", at positions 247 to 896 of the family's 1533-position model. The record is from RNAcentral.
AGUUGGUGGGGUAAGAGCCCACCAAGGCGACGAUGGGUAGCCGGUCUGAGAGGAUGGCCGGCCACACUGGGACUGAGACACGGCCCAGACUCCUACGGGAGGCAGCAGUCGGGAAUCUUGGGCAAUGGGCGAAAGCCUGACCCAGCGACGCCGCGUGGGGGACGAAGGCCUUCGGGUUGUAAACCCCUGUCUUCGGGGACGAACGAGGGGCCGGUUAAUACCCGGUCCAGGUGACGGUACCCGAGGAGGAAGCCCCGGCUAACUACGUGCCAGCAGCCGCGGUAAUACGUAGGGGGCGAGCGUUGUCCGGAAUUACUGGGCGUAAAGCGCGUGUAGGCGGUUUUGGAAGUCGGGUGUGAAACCCGCCGGCUCAACCGGCGGCCUGCACCCGAUACUCCAGGGCUUGAGGGCAGGAAAGGGAAGCGGAAUUCCCGGUGUAGCGGUGGAAUGCGUAGAUAUCGGGAGGAACACCAGUGGCGAAGGCGGCUUCCUGGUCUGCACCUGACGCUGAGACGCGAAAGCUAGGGGAGCAAACGGGAUUAGAUACCCCGGUAGUCCUAGCCGUAAACGAUGGACACUAGGUGUGGGAGGUAUCGACCCCUUCCGUGCCGCAGCUAACGCAUUAAGUGUCCCGCCUGGGGAGUACGGCCGCAAGGUUG